RNAcentral lists this ribosomal RNA (468 nucleotides) under uncultured bacterium. RNAcentral describes it as "partial 16S ribosomal RNA". It matches the Rfam family "Bacterial small subunit ribosomal RNA", at positions 28 to 507 of the family's 1533-position model. The record is from RNAcentral.
GACGAACGCUGGCGGCGUGCUUAACACAUGCAAGUCGAACGGAAAGGCCCUGCUUUUGUGGGGUGCUCGAGUGGCGAACGGGUGAGUAACACGUGAGUAACCUGCCCUUGACUUUGGGAUAACUUCAGGAAACUGGGGCUAAUACCGGAUAGGAGCUCCUGCUGCAUGGUGGGGGUUGGAAAGUUUCGGCGGUUGGGGAUGGACUCGCGGCUUAUCAGCUUGUUGGUGGGGUAGUGGCUUACCAAGGCUUUGACGGGUAGCCGGCCUGAGAGGGUGACCGGCCACAUUGGGACUGAGAGACGGCCCAGACGCCUACGGGAGGCAGCAGUGGGGAAUAUUGCACAAUGGGCGGAAGCCUGAGGCAGCAACGCCGCGUGCGGGAUGGCGGCCUUCGGGUUGUAAACCGCUUUCGACUGUGACGAAGCGUGAGUGACGGUAAUGGGUAAAGAAGCACCGGCUAACUACGUG